GGAGUCUAGCAUGUGCGCGAGUCAUUGGGAUUUGAAUAAACCUAAAGGCGCAAUGAAAGUAAAAGCUCGCUUUAUGCAAGCAUAGGGAAGAUGGGUGAAGACUUUAUGUUUUCGCUCCGCACUCCCGGGGCGUCUCAUUCUCAUUGCGAGAAGAGGCGCACCAAGAGCGUACAUGCUGGGACCCGAAAGAUGGUGAACUAUGCCUGGUCAGGACGAAGUCAGGGGAAACCCUGAUGGAGGUCCGUAGCGAUUCUGACGUGCAAAUCGAUCGUCGGAACUGGGUAUAGGGGCGAAAGACUAAUCGAACCAUCUAGUAGCUGGUUCCCUCCGAAGUUUCCCUCAGGAUAGCUGGCGCUCGUCUAGUACGAGUUUCAUCCGGUAAAGCGAAUGAUUAGAGGCAUUGGGGUCGAAACGGCUUCAACCUAUUCUCAAACUUUAAAUGGGUGAGAUCUCCGGCUUGCUCGAACUUGAAGCCGCGAGUAUCGAAUCAAUGAGUGCCAAGUGGGCCAUUUUUGGUAAGCAGAACUGGCGCUGUGGGAUGAACCAAACGCUGAGUUAAAGCGCCUAAAUCGACGCUUAUGGGACACCAUAAAAGGCGUUGGUAACUUAAGACAUCAGGACGGUGGCCAUGGAAGUC
This 637-nucleotide ribosomal RNA is filed under the name Microscapha sp. UPOL ZL0149. Its description in RNAcentral is "eukaryotic LSU rRNA". It matches the Rfam family "Eukaryotic large subunit ribosomal RNA", at positions 670 to 1262 of the family's 3401-position model. Lineage: Eukaryota; Metazoa; Arthropoda; Insecta; Coleoptera; Melandryidae. The record is from RNAcentral.